AUUGCUUUUCAGCCUUGGAUAAGCUCACACUAAGUAUCUGUUCUUUAUCAGUUUAAUAUCUGAUAUAUUCCCUAAAGGAGGACCAAAUAUUAAAUAGAUUUUUGGAACAGGGAGGUGCUAUAGGGGAUUGCUCCAUCCAUUCCAUGCAUCGGCCUGGCAUUGCAGUACCUUCUGCACAGUGGAAGAGUG
This is a small nuclear RNA of Ictalurus punctatus (channel catfish), 189 nucleotides long. Its record names the gene U2. It matches the Rfam family "U2 spliceosomal RNA". From Rfam's summary of the family: U2 is a small nuclear RNA (snRNA) component of the spliceosome (involved in pre-mRNA splicing). Complementary binding between U2 snRNA (in an area lying towards the 5' end but 3' to hairpin I) and the branchpoint sequence (BPS) of the intron results the bulging out of an unpaired adenosine, on the BPS, which initiates a nucleophilic attack at the intronic 5' splice site, thus starting the first of two transesterification reactions that mediate splicing. The record is from Ensembl. Lineage: Eukaryota; Metazoa; Chordata; Actinopteri; Siluriformes; Ictaluridae.